Molecule: ribosomal RNA, 440 nt
Filed under: uncultured bacterium
Lineage: Bacteria
Description: partial 16S ribosomal RNA
Rfam family: Bacterial small subunit ribosomal RNA
Source: RNAcentral
CCUACGGGAGGCUGCAGUAGGGAAUAUUGCUCAAUGGGGGAAACCCUGAAGCAGCAACGCCGCGUGGAGGAUGAAGGUUUUAGGAUUGUAAACUCCUUUUGUUAGAUAAGAUUAUGACGGUAUCUAACGAAUAAGCACCGGCUAACUCCGUUCCAGCAGCCGCGGUAAUACGGAGGGUGCAAGCGUUACUCGGAAUCACUGGGCGUAAAGAGUGCGUAGGCGGGGUAAUAAGUCAGAUGUGAAAUCCUGUGGCUUAACUACAGAACUGCAUUUGAAACUGUUACUCUGGAGUGUGGGAGAGGUAGGUGGAAUUCUUGGUGUAGGGGUAAAAUCCGUAGAGAUCAAGAGGAAUACUCAUUGCGAAGGCGACCUGCUGGAACAUUACUGACGCUGAUGCACGAAAGCGUGGGGAGCAAACAGGAUUAGAUACCCCGGUAGUC